AAGCACCUAAGUUGUGUGAGGGCAGUCUUGGGAAAGGAAGAGGAUCAUAUAUAACCUUGCUUUCCAGUUUCUGGUAAUAGCCUCCUAAAGUAAUGCUCUUUCGAUUCUCAGGCAUUGCAUUUAUUACCACAGUAGCCUCAGGGUUUCGUUUAAUAACACUGAGGGAAUGAAUCUUACUUCCUUAUUCAUAGCUCAUAUUUUGUUUCUUAAAUUGAUAAUGUUUUUAUUUGCAAGGGCCUAUCCUGGGAGCUAGUUAUAAGGAAGUGGCUUAUCCAAAGACUCUGCGUGAGCGUGGAGUUGGUCCUGAUGUCAAGGGGAAGCGAGUGCCAAAACUAGAGGUCAUUAAAGAGCUGGAAGGAGGGCCUGUCCUGGGAGCUACUCAGCAGGAACUGGCAUAUCCAAAGUUUGAGCAUGAGCGUGCAGAAGGUUCUGAUGUCAAGCUGAAGCGAGUGCCAAAACUAGAGCUCGUUAAAGUGCAGGCAGGAGGGCAAGGGAAGCCACAGAUUUAAACGAAGAUGAGCUGAAGCCAUGUAGGCAGUUCUUGUGUUGGAAAUUUGACUGUUAAAAUUCUCUCAAUAAAGAUUUGCA
This is a long non-coding RNA of Hipposideros armiger (great roundleaf bat), 588 nucleotides long. RefSeq lists it as uncharacterized. The transcript is spliced from 3 exons. The record is from RefSeq and is a predicted model, not a curated record. Lineage: Eukaryota; Metazoa; Chordata; Mammalia; Chiroptera; Hipposideridae.